RNAcentral lists this ribosomal RNA (407 nucleotides) under uncultured bacterium. Its description in RNAcentral is "partial 16S ribosomal RNA". It matches the Rfam family "Bacterial small subunit ribosomal RNA", at positions 30 to 526 of the family's 1533-position model. The record is from RNAcentral.
AUUGAACGCUAGCGGGAUGCCUUACACAUGCAAGUCGAACGGAGUGGCGAACGGGUGAGUAAUGUAUCGGAACGUGCCCAGUAGUGGGGGAUAACGACGCUAAAGCGUAGCUAAUACCGCAUACUAUUUGAGCGGCCGCUAUCGGAUUAGCUAGUUGGUGGGGUAACGGCUCACCAAGGCCACGAUCCGUAGCUGUUUUGAGAGUACGACCAGCAACACUGGGACUGAGACACGGCCCAGAAUCCUACGGGAGGCAGCAGUGGGGAAUUUUGGACAAUGGGGGAAACCCGGACCCAGCCAGGCCGCGUGUGUGAUGAAGGACUUCGGGUUGUAAAGCACUUUUAGCAGGAAAGCGGUACCUGCAGAAUAAGCACCGGCUAACUCCGUGCCAGCAGCCGCGGUAAUAC